GUGACGCCAUGAGGUAGGAAGCCCGGAAACUUCUCCGAUUGCACUUGGGUGCAGAUGCCCUGGGAAUUGCAAAGAAGGUUUUGGGACCCUUGGAUCUGGAGGAGCAUACGAUGUUAGCCAUCUGAAGCAGAGCAGUCUUGGUCCCUCUCCAUUAGGAAUCUAUAUCUAUGGAGUCUCACAGACUCACUUAUGGAAACCAGUAAGACAGUCUCCUUAAAAAGAAGGAAGGAGGAGGAGGAGGAGGAGGAGGAAGAAGAAGAAGAAGAAGAAGAAGAAGAAGGUCUUUU
Mesocricetus auratus (golden hamster) is the source of this 287-nucleotide long non-coding RNA. RefSeq lists it as uncharacterized. Lineage: Eukaryota; Metazoa; Chordata; Mammalia; Rodentia; Cricetidae. The record is from RefSeq and is a predicted model, not a curated record. The transcript has 3 exons.